CAACAGCUAGAGUUUGAUCCUGGCUCAGGAUGAACGCUGGCGGCGUGCCUAACACAUGCAAGUCGAACGGAGUGUUGAGAGCUUGCUUUUAACACUUAGUGGCGGACGGGUGAGUAAUGUAUGAGCAACCUGCCUUUCAGAGGGGGACAACAGUUGGAAACGACUGCUAAUACCGCAUAAUGUAUCCGGGCGGCAUCGUCUGGAUACCAAAGGAGCAAUCCGCUGAAAGAUGGGCUCAUAUCUGAUUAGCUAGUUGGUGGGGUAACGGCCUACCAAGGCUGCGAUCAGUAGCCGGACUGAGAGGUUGAACGGCCACAUUGGGACUGAGAUACGGCCCAGACUCCUACGGGAGGCAGCAGUGGGGAAUAUUGGGCAAUGGGCGAAAGCCUGACCCAGCAACGCCGCGUGAAGGAAGAAGGUCUUCGGAUUGUAAACUUCUUUUAUGAGGGACGAAGGACGUGACGGUACCUCAUGAAUAAGCCACGGCUAACUACGUGCC
Molecule: ribosomal RNA, 499 nt
Filed under: uncultured organism
Description: SSU rRNA
Rfam family: Bacterial small subunit ribosomal RNA
Source: RNAcentral